GACGAACGCUGGCGGCGUGCUUAACACAUGCAAGUCGAACGGAAAGGCCCCUUUGGGGGUACUCUAGUGGCGAACGCGUGAGUAACACUUGAGUAACCUUCCCUUGACUUCGGGAUAACUUCAGGAAACUGGGGCUAAUACCGGAUAGGAAUCCUUGCUGCAUGGUGGGGGUUGGAAAGCUUCGGCGGUUUUGGAUGGACUCGCGGCGUAUCAGCUUGUUGGUGGGGUAGUGGCUUACCAAGGCUUUUACGGGUAGCCGGCCUGAGAGGGCGACCGGCCACAUUGGGACUGAGAGAAGGCCGAGACUCCUACGGGAGGAAGAAGUGGGGAAGAUUGAACAAUGGGCGGAAGCCUGAUGCAGCAACGCCUCGUGCGGGAUGACGGCCUUCGGGUUGUAAAACGCUUUCAGCAGGGGCGAAGCUUGUGGUGACGGUACCUGCAGAAGAAGCACCGGCUAACUACGUG
This 465-nucleotide ribosomal RNA is filed under the name uncultured bacterium. RNAcentral's name for it is "partial 16S ribosomal RNA". It matches the Rfam family "Bacterial small subunit ribosomal RNA", at positions 28 to 507 of the family's 1533-position model. The record is from RNAcentral.